RNAcentral lists this long non-coding RNA (1027 nucleotides) under Gossypium barbadense (sea-island cotton). RNAcentral's name for it is "long non-coding RNA (GBAR_LNC005741)". The record is from RNAcentral. Lineage: Eukaryota; Viridiplantae; Streptophyta; Magnoliopsida; Malvales; Malvaceae.
UUUGCACCAAAAUCAGAAAAAAAGGAAGAGAGGGAGACUUGGGCGAUUUUCGAUGGGAAAUCCGACCUCGCCCUGACCGCCGUCCACCGUCGCCGGCACCUGCGCCCGCCACCUGCGCCCGCCACCGUACACGGUGGCCGGAAAGGUAAAAAUUUUAUUUUAUUUUUUGAUUUUUUUAUUUUUUUUGAAUAUAUGUGUAUAUAUAUGUAAAUUUGUAAAAAAAGGAGAAAUAAAGAAUUUUUGAGAGCUAAUAAAUUAAAAAAAGGAAAUAAAGGAGAUAGAAGAUUGCUCACUUUUAAUCUGUUUUUUUUUAAUCUGCCGUAUGUUUUUUGUUUUGAUCUCACUGUUUUAUUUGUUUGAAUCAAAUAUGUAGAGAUUUGUUGUUUGUUUUAGGUAAAAAUCUCUUGUGUUUUAUUCAUCCUCUCCCCCCACAUACAUUAGAUGAUUAGGGCUUUUAUAGCCAAAUACAAAGUGGUCAUGUUUCUGCUAUUUAGUUGCGUAUUGCCUUCCCUUCUCUGUCUUUUCUUGUUUUUGUGUUUGCAGGCGUGGUGGGUGGCGGACAUGACUGGGCAGUGGCCAGUGGUGAGGUUCAGCGCCGCAGUCAGUGCAAGUGUCUAGGGUUAGGUAUUUUUGUUUUUUCUAUUUUGGGUUUGGAUUGUAUUAGGCUUGCUGUUGGGUUUUGGGUUUUUAAUGUGUUGGGUUUUGGGGUUUAAUGUAAAUGGGUUUUGGGAUUUAAUGUCAAUGGGUUUUGGGGUUGGGCUUGGUUGUUGGGCUCGGGUAAAUUGUAAACGGGCCAAAAUUGGCCUACAACAAGCAUAAAAUUGUUAAUAAAAUAUUUAAAAUAAUUAAGUUAUUAUUAUAAAUAAUGACAUUUUUUUGGUACUAUUUUUCAAGUUAGUCUUAUCAUUCAAGUUCUGGGUUUGUGACUGUCUCUAUCAAUAAUGUCGUCUUCAGAGUUCAAAUUUACGUUAUUUGCUUAAGAGUGCAAUGUAUCUUAUCACUGCACCCAACACUUGUUGGUAUGAUA